RNAcentral lists this ribosomal RNA (426 nucleotides) under uncultured bacterium. RNAcentral describes it as "bacterial SSU rRNA". It matches the Rfam family "Bacterial small subunit ribosomal RNA", at positions 506 to 930 of the family's 1533-position model. The record is from RNAcentral.
AGCCAGCAGCCGCGGUAAUACGUAGGGAGCGAGCGUUGUCCGAAUUUACUGGGCGUAAAGCGCGCGUAGGCGGGCUGGUAAGUUGUGGGUGAAAUGCCGAGGCUCAACCUCGGCGCUGCCUGCAAGACUGCUGGUCUUGAGGUAUGGAGGGGAAAGCGGAAUUCCUGGUGUAGCGGUGAAAUGCGUAGAUAUCAGGAGGAACACCGAUGGCGAAGGCAGCUUUCUGGCCAUAUCCUGACGCUGAGGUGCGAAAGCCAGGGUAGCGAACGGGAUUAGAUACCCCGGUAGUCCUGGCCGUAAACGAUGGAUACUAGGUGUUAGAGGUAUCGACCCCUCUAGUGCCGGAGCUAACGCAUUAAGUAUCCCGCCUGGGGAGUACGGUCGCAAGACUGAAACUCAAAGGAAUUGACGGGGGCCCGCACAAGU